This is a long non-coding RNA of Globicephala melas (long-finned pilot whale), 900 nucleotides long. RefSeq lists it as uncharacterized. The record is from RefSeq and is a predicted model, not a curated record. NCBI's taxonomy places the organism in Eukaryota, Metazoa, Chordata, Mammalia, Artiodactyla, Delphinidae.
UGUUUUUCUAGCUUAAACCUGCGCCUCGCAGUCCCUUCUCCAGACAGACACUGAAAAUGAGCAGUUUCGAGGCAGGGGGAACUACCCCUCCCUCCCCAUCACCAGCCCCGCAGCCCGGCGUUCCCUGAACGGGGUUCGGCUCCCUCUUCGCCCCGCCCCUCGAAGGAUGGCGCCCAGGCCCCGCCCCCGGAAGCCCUGCCGGAGACUGCGUGCGCAGCUUUUUAUGGACCGGGAAGCGGAGAGUGCGGACUGGAGCUUGCACUGCCCAGCGUGUUUCUCGUUUGUAGUGUAAAUCUGUGCUGCGCGGUCCCGCUGACUCCACCCUCAGGGUCUUGGGAGUCACUAUGGACCUUAACUCCCAGCAGCCGGCCCUCCGACCCAGUAAAUCCAGACAUCGCCGUUACAGGUCGGGAUAGACCUCUAAAGACUCCUAUUGCUUGAGGAGGAAGCCCGGAAGAGGAGGGAGAGGAAAGAAAAGGAGUCAGAAAUGGCUCUUUCUCAGGCACCGUUGACCUUCAAGGAUGUGGCCGUAGGAUUCACUCAGGAGCGGGAACGCCUGGACCCUGCUCAGAGGGCCUUGUAUAGGGACGUGAUGGAGGAGACCUCCAGGAACCUGCUCUCUGUGGGUGAGGAUAACUUCCCUCCCUCUAGAAGUUGGGAUCUGCUCUUGGAUAUCUUUGCAUUUUUCCUGUGUGCCUCUUGGGAGCCCCUGUUUUGCUUGACUGAUCUGAAAUCCCUGUUGACUUGGACAUGAAAUGCUUCAGGAUGUGCAGUGUCAGUAGUUUAAACUGUCCUUUUCUUCAGGUGAUCUGCCCAUUUCAUGAUACGUCGAGGGUUGUUCCAGAGCUUGAGUAUUUAUAAAGCACAAUGGGAAACUUUUAAAAUACCCAAUUUCCUGUG